CUCUCCUAGGCCAUAAGAAGAUAAUGCUGCAGCCUCUGUGGCCCCUCUGAGCUGGAUUGGAUGAACUCCAGCUGCAAGUGGAAAGGGCAGGGGUGAAACACAUUUAACUGUGGAAAUGGAAAAAAACACCAGGAGAAACAGAAGAGAAAGGAGAGGGAGACUGAAGGAGUGAGGAAAGCUCUGUGCCACCAGGAGAUGGCUGAAGGCCUUGGAUGGACACCAACCGUGAUUCAUGUUAAUCAUAAAAGUAUUGGGGUUUGUAUAAACCACAAUACUUAGGUCUGAAAAUGAAGCAUGACAUUAAAGAAAGGAAAAUAUAUGAUUAAAUCAUUCUGUUUUGCUAACAGUUUGCAAAACAAAGCUUUCACACAGCCCAGUAGAUUCUGCAAAAUCAGAUUUCCUGCCUUUGUGUAAUCAAUUGCAGUCUGAGACCAGACUUCCCGACUUCUGUCAUUCCUUAUCCACCAAGACCAGAUAGUUAGCUAUGGGACUUGACAAACUGUCUAGAGACUCACAUUGUCCAGCGAUCCCAUGGACCACCACUGCUUACCUGGCAGAAUUAUGACAGCAAAAAAAAAAAAAAAACCAACAAUUAUUGAUUGCUUCAAGGAAACCAUACUAUAAAACGGAGCUUCAAAACAAAGUUCGGUGGAGGAUGGAGUGGGCAGUGACUCCCCCCUGUGUAUCCCCAGCGCUGCAUUGCUCUGUCUAUAUAAAAUAAAACAAUCUAAAUUUUGCUGAA
Long non-coding RNA from Oenanthe melanoleuca, 742 nucleotides. RefSeq lists it as uncharacterized. NCBI's taxonomy places the organism in Eukaryota, Metazoa, Chordata, Aves, Passeriformes, Muscicapidae. The transcript is spliced from 2 exons. The record is from RefSeq and is a predicted model, not a curated record.